UUAUCUACAUUAAGUUUUCAAGAACUAAUGGCUUCUUUGGAGACACAUGAGCUACGAAUGAGCAGGUUUUCAACUCAAGAGGUGGAACAAGCUUUCAAUCUAAAGUGCCAAUUUCAAAUAAAAGAGGAGGAGAUACCGAUAAAGAAGGAAGGAAAAAUUUCCAACAAAAGAGCAAUUAUGGGAGCAGAAAUUUCAAGCAANNNN
Molecule: long non-coding RNA, 204 nt
Filed under: Nicotiana benthamiana
Lineage: Eukaryota; Viridiplantae; Streptophyta; Magnoliopsida; Solanales; Solanaceae
Description: long non-coding RNA (NBEN_LNC026314)
Source: RNAcentral